GCGCCUGCCUCCGCGAGGACCAGCCGGGCUCAGGCGGUCUCCUGCUCUCGGCGGGAACGGUGCCCUCCUCGGGAAAGCCCGGCAGCCCAUGGGGUCCCUGCCCCACCCGGGGUCACUCGGAGGCGGCCAGUGACGUCUGGGGUCCGAGCUCGUGGCUCGUCCGGUGACCGAGAGGACAGCCUGAAGCUCCAUGGCAUCCUCUCCUGGGUCCUGCCACACCUGACUGCAUUGGACUGGGUCUUCGACGGGUAUGUGAGACCCACUGAGGGAACACACCCCGUCCCAGCUCAGCACCUGCCCAUCCAGAUGACCCCAGGGUACUGCCUUUCAACCCUGGGGGUGCCUUUAUCCAACUCCUCAUGUGGUCCCAACCACCCAGGGAGCUUAAAACCUGGAGAGGUGCUUGUGGCUAGGGCAGGGGGUUGCAUGGAGAAGCUUUGGGGGAACCCAGGUGGCCAUGCACUGGACACAGCAGUAGAGGGCCCCCUGUGCACCGAGCUCCCCACUGCAUGCAGCCCUCCACAGCUUUCUAGAACAUUCCAGAGAAGCUUCCAGGCCUCUCAGCCUCAAUCCCCAAACUGUUCACAGCAACCGCAGGGUCAUUCAUCCCUAGAGACGAGGCCAGAGAAGGAGACAGAGUAAACUUAGGAUGGGCCCAUGUCCAGUGGGCUGGGCAACUUGAGGGGUCCUAUAGGGUGCUGGUAACCUUAGACGUCUGGACUUUUCCUAAACUAUGAUGGUCCUUGCCGGGGAAGGGGCGGGGACCUAAGAAGACCUGCAAUGUGCUCAAAAGGAAAAUAGGGCAUUUUCCCAUUUUUCCUGAGAGGGGAGCUCACCCCAGCCCUGGGAACCGGAGUGGCUGAGGGGUGCUCACUGUGUGCUCCUGGGGUGUUCUGUAAGCUCUUAUGGGGUAUUCCCUCUCCAUCCUGUGAUGUGAGCCAGCGCCACGUAACUUCACUGGCGAGGAAACAGAUGGCGUGACCAACUGGGUGCAGUGUGACUGGAAAUCAAAGCCAGACUAGAGCACAGACUCACACUCACGCUUCUGCACCAGGCCCACCACACGCAGGGGCUCUUGUGGAAGGAAGAUGAGCCCACGUGCCAGUCUCUGCCAAGUCCACGACAGCUCCCCCCACGCUCGCACGUGUGCAAAUGCUCACAGUCACACACCCUCCCACACACAGCCUUCCCCAGCUGGGUUGGGGAGCCCCCCCGGUGAAGCGGAUGCCCCACAAGCACAUCUCAUUCAAAGACUUUGCAGAGCAGGCCUGCAGGCUCCUGUUGUUCCAGGUGCUUGUUUAGGGCCCCGUUAGGACGGAGGGAGGGAGGGGCACACAGCCCGGUGGGGCAGGGCCCUCCGCACCUCCCGCCAGCUCUUCCUCCUGGAGAAGCACCUGGUGGAGGGCCACCGCUGGUGCAUCCUCAGCGGUGAACCAAGAGCCCGAGCCCUGGGCAGCUUCCAGCAGAGGGGUGGCACUGCCAUCUGCGGGUCGUCGGCACACCCACCAGCCACGACGGUGCCCUCGGUGUGAAAUGAGAUGGGGCCUGAGGCCCGUCUGCACUGCUUUAAGAUGACAGAGAGGCUCUCUUCACCUCUUACAGCUUUGGCAGGACCCCUCCGGCUGCCGAGAAGUAAGCAUGAGGCUGUGGUGGCAUUUUGAGAUACACAGAACAAUGAGGUUGAGUCACCUGUUUGCAGCUCUGUAGCCCCUUUCCUCCCUGGAACUUUGAAGUCGCCGUGAGGCUGCUACACCUGGCCCACGGGUGGGGCCUGGCCCGUCCCACAGAGACACACCUGAAUUCUCACCCAUUUCUCGGUUGUUUGGAAAUUGGCUUGUGAUCUGCUGGCACAAGCCUCUUCUUGGAACACCAAGGACAGCUAUGCAGCGCGAUGUGCCCUGCCGGGGAAAGUGCCCGACGGGGAAAUGAGUGGACAGGAGCCCCAGGAAAGGUCUGCCCUGGAACCCUUCCUGGCAGUCCCAGCCUGUUCCAGCCAGCCCGGACUCACCUUGCUUCGUGACACCUCUCUUUAUUCCAUGGCUGCUGGGACCCAUGGAAGAGAGCUGAGCGAGGCCAAGACUUCCUUCUGUGGACGAAGCCUUCGUUCACCCAUUCGACAGAUGUUUGUUGAGUGCCUCCUUACUCCACGUCCUGUUCUAGGUGCUGGGCAUCAGGAAUGCUGCAGUAUGCCGCAAGGUGGACCUCGCUAUGGAAACAAGAGAGGGGAACAGGAUGGGAACAUGGGUGCUGGGCAUGUUGCGGUUUUCAAUACGCAGAAUAGACUUGAUCCAGAAGGCAGUGUUUGUGCAAAGACCCAUCCACACCAGGGUUAGCUGUGCACACGGAGGCUCUGCAGAACAGGGUCCAAGCAUAGGGAAGAGCUGGGUGAGGUCCUGAUGCAGGUGCUCCAGGGUCAGUUGGGUGGCACGUGGGCCAGCCAGACGGGGCUGGUGCAUGCAGUCUCUCCCUCACGGACCCGGCCCCUGUUGACCAGCAUCAGCACCUCCUGGAACCAAAGCACCAGAUGAGAAUUCAUCCUUAUCCUUUCUACCACUGACUUCUUACCUGGAAUUAUUCUUCUGCUGACCUCCAUUAAAUCCACUUCCCCACUUAAUCUUCUGGUACAUUUGGUCUUUCUUCAUUUUUGUGUGGACCCACAGGAUACCAAACCAAUGGUGGGUUUUACACAAGAAUGUAUUUAAUUUAGUUUUCUUAAAUAAAUGUCACAUCAGUUAUUUAUUUUUUUAAGAAUUUUAUUUUUUAUUUUUUUUAAGAUUUUUUAUUCAUUUAUUUGAGAGAGAGAGAAUGAGAGACAGAGAGCAUGAGAGGGAGGAGGGUCAGAGGGAGAAGCAGACUCCCCGCCGAGCAGGGAGCCCGAUGCGGGACUCGAUCCUGGGACUCCAGGAUCAUGACCUGAGCCGAAGGCAGUCGCUCAACCAACUGAGCCACCCAGGUGCCCCUCAUAUAAGUUAUUUAAAUAGUCAACUGGUAAGUUUAAUACCCUUGCAUAGAAAUAACUGUAGGUAUUGGAAGAAUAAAUAAAGAUCUGAGUCGAACCCCAAUAUGUAAGCAGACAGUUUAGUAGCUCUCUAUUUAGUUGUUUGCACAUUCAUCGGUUGAUCCAUUAUCUUUGUUAAUAUUAAUUGGAUCCAACUGGUUCACUUUCUAAUUCUUGAAGUAAAAUUGGAACUGGUUCAUGGGGUAAUUUCUAACCUACACUGAAGGGUGUGUGUCAUUAAAUUCAGUUAGCACAUCAGAAGACCAUGCCAGAAAACAGAUGAAACCACAGUCUAAUAUUUCAAAAGGAGCCAAAAAGAAACAAAAUGGUAGAAGCUAUGAAAGAACAACACAGUUUAGAAUCAGAACAAUGAGAAGGGAAGGCAUGCAGAAGAUGAAUAUUUGGGAAGUCAGAUGACUGAACUCAGGAAAGAAUUUAAAAUAUUCUUCCACUUUAGAGAACCUGACAAGGAAGAAGCACAAACAGGAGAAGUCACAGCAGAUGCUUCCUUCGGAGACAUGAUUGAAAAUGUGGGGAAGGCAGUGGUAGAACAGUGGGGCAAGCAGGACCUCACACACACCUGACCCCAUGCACACCCGACCCGUGCACACCCGUCCCUGAUGGAGCCGCCACACGUCAGGGCCAGCAGGACCUUGCGCACACCCAACCCUGGCAGAGCCGCGGCAGCUCGACCAGCGAGCCAGAGCACAAAGUGCACUUCCAGAAGACUCUCCUGGAGAAGAGACUUCACUUGAAGGUCCACAUUGAAAGAGGGCAUCAAGCACUGGAAACACAACCCAGAGUGACUGGCACUGAGGCAUUUAACAAAACAGGUGAACUUCACAGAAAAAGAGAAGUGAUUUGGUCAUAAGACAAAAAGACCAAGUCACUUUUAAAGGAAAUAAAAUCAGAGUAUCCUCUUUUUUUUGCCGGAAGAUAGUGGAGUGACAUAUUUAAGAUAAUCAAGGAAAGAGCAUUAUAGGCCAGGGACUUUCUAUCCCGCCAAACUGAACUAAGGUCCACACCAAACCCCUCAGAACUCAGGGACUCCCUGCAGGUGGUCAGCCAAUGUUGCCUUAAGGGCAAGAUGUAACUAUCUUAAGCUCUAUGGGUCAAGAGGCACAUUGAAGAUAUUAUAAAAUGCUUACUUAACCAUUUAAAAUAUAAAAACUGGGGACACCUGGGUGGCUCAGUUGGUUAAGUGUCUGCCUUUGGCUCAGGUCAUGAUCCCGGGGUCCUGGGAUCGAGCCCCUCAUCAGGCUCCCUGCUCAGCGAGGAGUCUGCUUCUCUCCCUCUGUCCCUCCCCCCACUUGUGUUCUCUUUCACUCUGUCAAAAAUAAAUGAAUAAAAUCUUAAAAAAAAAAAAAAAGUAUAGGAUGAGCUGUUAGUUGCCAGUAUUAGCAACAUUUCUGAAACUUCUAAGUUAUACUCUUUCCUUUUUACAUACAUACCAUAAAGUUUACUUUUUUCCUAAUAAAAAGAAACGAUCAGGACACAAAACAGUUUCAUCACUCCAGAAACUUCCUUCGGGCUUCCCUUGUGGGGUCAAACCCGUCUGCCACCCCAAACUCCUCUGUCUCUAAAGUUCUGUCUUUCGUGAAAUGUCACAUACAACGAACCUUUCUGGACUGGCCCCUUUCGCUCAGCGGGUGUGCAGUGUCUUUGGCUUCAUCCAAGUUUUUACCCGUAUGGAUAGUUAGUUCCUUUUGUUACUCAGUAGUAUCCCAUUGUGUGGAUGUGCAGCUUUGUCCGUUCACCUGUUGAGAGAUAUUCAGUUGUUUCCAUUUUUGGGUGAUUAUAAAUAAAGCUGUUAUAAAUAGUUGCAUAUAGAUUUUCCUUGAGAUAAGUUUUCAUUUCUCUAGGGUAA
Molecule: long non-coding RNA, 4865 nt
Organism: Mirounga angustirostris (Northern elephant seal)
Lineage: Eukaryota; Metazoa; Chordata; Mammalia; Carnivora; Phocidae
Exons: 4
Source: RefSeq, a predicted model, not a curated record